CACAUACAUCUGCCAAGCUGUCUCACUCUUCUGACUUUAUAGACUCUCUCAUCUCGCCUCACUCUUCCUGGUCGCUGCUGAUCUGCUCGCGACGACUCAGACGAUUCACAACUCUGCCUCCCCCUCCGUCAGUCCACGGCCUCGUCUGUUGGCGUGCGAGUGGUGCUCAGUUGAGUUGAGUGACCUCAAUCAAAUGUGAAUCUGGGCCUCUCUCCUCUCUACGAGACUGCCAUUGUGACUUUUGCUAUCUCCUUCUCCGGUGCUCCAUGUCAAAGGUUCAAUACCAUGUUGAAGGUUAGUGAGACUUGUGAAAUUGCUACUGAUGUUCUUGAGCAUUUUGGACUACUAGGAUUGAGAGAAAGUGAGGUAUAGGAAAGUGGGCUCAUUUCGAGAGUGUUAAUGAGCUAAGUACCGCUACAUAAAUUUGAAGGUGAAGCAUGAGUGAUUUGAAGUUCCCAAAACGUUACUUGAUUGUUAUUUUAACCUUUAUCAGCACUUGUGUUUGCUAUAUUGAACGGGUGGGUUUCUCUAUUGCGUAUACUGUUGCGGCUGAUGAUGCUGGUGUAAACCAAUCAAGUAAAGGCACUAUACUUUCGACAUUCUAUUAUGGUUAUGCCUGCUCCCAGGUGCCUGGAGGAUGGGCAGC
RNAcentral lists this unclassified non-coding RNA (646 nucleotides) under Hevea brasiliensis (rubber tree). The record is from RNAcentral. Lineage: Eukaryota; Viridiplantae; Streptophyta; Magnoliopsida; Malpighiales; Euphorbiaceae.